Molecule: ribosomal RNA, 2900 nt
Filed under: Escherichia coli 3-475-03_S1_C1
Lineage: Bacteria; Pseudomonadati; Pseudomonadota; Gammaproteobacteria; Enterobacterales; Enterobacteriaceae
Description: bacterial LSU rRNA
Rfam family: Bacterial large subunit ribosomal RNA
Source: RNAcentral
UAAGCGACUAAGCGUACACGGUGGAUGCCCUGGCAGUCAGAGGCGAUGAAGGACGUGCUAAUCUGCGAUAAGCGUCGGUAAGGUGAUAUGAACCGUUAUAACCGGCGAUUUCCGAAUGGGGAAACCCAGUGUGAUUCGUCACACUAUCAUUAACUGAAUCCAUAGGUUAAUGAGGCGAACCGGGGGAACUGAAACAUCUAAGUACCCCGAGGAAAAGAAAUCAACCGAGAUUCCCCCAGUAGCGGCGAGCGAACGGGGAGCAGCCCAGAGCCUGAAUCAGUGUGUGUGUUAGUGGAAGCGUCUGGAAAGGCGCGCGAUACAGGGUGACAGCCCCGUACACAAAAAUGCACAUGCUGUGAGCUCGAUGAGUAGGGCGGGACACGUGGUAUCCUGUCUGAAUAUGGGGGGACCAUCCUCCAAGGCUAAAUACUCCUGACUGACCGAUAGUGAACCAGUACCGUGAGGGAAAGGCGAAAAGAACCCCGGCGAGGGGAGUGAAAAAGAACCUGAAACCGUGUACGUACAAGCAGUGGGAGCACGCUUAGGCGUGUGACUGCGUACCUUUUGUAUAAUGGGUCAGCGACUUAUAUUCUGUAGCAAGGUUAACCGAAUAGGGGAGCCGAAGGGAAACCGAGUCUUAACUGGGCGUUAAGUUGCAGGGUAUAGACCCGAAACCCGGUGAUCUAGCCAUGGGCAGGUUGAAGGUUGGGUAACACUAACUGGAGGACCGAACCGACUAAUGUUGAAAAAUUAGCGGAUGACUUGUGGCUGGGGGUGAAAGGCCAAUCAAACCGGGAGAUAGCUGGUUCUCCCCGAAAGCUAUUUAGGUAGCGCCUCGUGAACUCAUCUCCGGGGGUAGAGCACUGUUUCGGCAAGGGGGUCAUCCCGACUUACCAACCCGAUGCAAACUGCGAAUACCGGAGAAUGUUAUCACGGGAGACACACGGCGGGUGCUAACGUCCGUCGUGAAGAGGGAAACAACCCAGACCGCCAGCUAAGGUCCCAAAGUCAUGGUUAAGUGGGAAACGAUGUGGGAAGGCCCAGACAGCCAGGAUGUUGGCUUAGAAGCAGCCAUCAUUUAAAGAAAGCGUAAUAGCUCACUGGUCGAGUCGGCCUGCGCGGAAGAUGUAACGGGGCUAAACCAUGCACCGAAGCUGCGGCAGCGACGCUUAUGCGUUGUUGGGUAGGGGAGCGUUCUGUAAGCCUGUGAAGGUGUACUGUGAGGUAUGCUGGAGGUAUCAGAAGUGCGAAUGCUGACAUAAGUAACGAUAAAGCGGGUGAAAAGCCCGCUCGCCGGAAGACCAAGGGUUCCUGUCCAACGUUAAUCGGGGCAGGGUGAGUCGACCCCUAAGGCGAGGCCGAAAGGCGUAGUCGAUGGGAAACAGGUUAAUAUUCCUGUACUUGGUGUUACUGCGAAGGGGGGACGGAGAAGGCUAUGUUGGCCGGGCGACGGUUGUCCCGGUUUAAGCGUGUAGGCUGGUUUUCCAGGCAAAUCCGGAAAAUCAAGGCUGAGGCGUGAUGACGAGGCACUACGGUGCUGAAGCAACAAAUGCCCUGCUUCCAGGAAAAGCCUCUAAGCAUCAGGUAACAUCAAAUCGUACCCCAAACCGACACAGGUGGUCAGGUAGAGAAUACCAAGGCGCUUGAGAGAACUCGGGUGAAGGAACUAGGCAAAAUGGUGCCGUAACUUCGGGAGAAGGCACGCUGAUAUGUAGGUGAAGCGACUUGCUCGUGGAGCUGAAAUCAGUCGAAGAUACCAGCUGGCUGCAACUGUUUAUUAAAAACACAGCACUGUGCAAACACGAAAGUGGACGUAUACGGUGUGACGCCUGCCCGGUGCCGGAAGGUUAAUUGAUGGGGUCAGCGCAAGCGAAGCUCUUGAUCGAAGCCCCGGUAAACGGCGGCCGUAACUAUAACGGUCCUAAGGUAGCGAAAUUCCUUGUCGGGUAAGUUCCGACCUGCACGAAUGGCGUAAUGAUGGCCAGGCUGUCUCCACCCGAGACUCAGUGAAAUUGAACUCGCUGUGAAGAUGCAGUGUACCCGCGGCAAGACGGAAAGACCCCGUGAACCUUUACUAUAGCUUGACACUGAACAUUGAGCCUUGAUGUGUAGGAUAGGUGGGAGGCUUUGAAGUGUGGACGCCAGUCUGCAUGGAGCCGACCUUGAAAUACCACCCUUUAAUGUUUGAUGUUCUAACGUUGACCCGUAAUCCGGGUUGCGGACAGUGUCUGGUGGGUAGUUUGACUGGGGCGGUCUCCUCCUAAAGAGUAACGGAGGAGCACGAAGGUUGGCUAAUCCUGGUCGGACAUCAGGAGGUUAGUGCAAUGGCAUAAGCCAGCUUGACUGCGAGCGUGACGGCGCGAGCAGGUGCGAAAGCAGGUCAUAGUGAUCCGGUGGUUCUGAAUGGAAGGGCCAUCGCUCAACGGAUAAAAGGUACUCCGGGGAUAACAGGCUGAUACCGCCCAAGAGUUCAUAUCGACGGCGGUGUUUGGCACCUCGAUGUCGGCUCAUCACAUCCUGGGGCUGAAGUAGGUCCCAAGGGUAUGGCUGUUCGCCAUUUAAAGUGGUACGCGAGCUGGGUUUAGAACGUCGUGAGACAGUUCGGUCCCUAUCUGCCGUGGGCGCUGGAGAACUGAGGGGGGCUGCUCCUAGUACGAGAGGACCGGAGUGGACGCAUCACUGGUGUUCGGGUUGUCAUGCCAAUGGCACUGCCCGGUAGCUAAAUGCGGAAGAGAUAAGUGCUGAAAGCAUCUAAGCACGAAACUUGCCCCGAGAUGAGUUCUCCCUGACUCCUUGAGAGUCCUGAAGGAACGUUGAAGACGACGACGUUGAUAGGCCGGGUGUGUAAGCGCAGCGAUGCGUUGAGCUAACCGGUACUAAUGAACCGUGAGGCUUAACCU